RNAcentral lists this ribosomal RNA (649 nucleotides) under uncultured bacterium. RNAcentral's name for it is "bacterial SSU rRNA". It matches the Rfam family "Bacterial small subunit ribosomal RNA", at positions 43 to 738 of the family's 1533-position model. The record is from RNAcentral.
CAGGCCUAACACAUGCAAGUCGAACGCUAUAUUUAUAUAGAGUGGCGCACGGGUGAGUAACACGUGGGAAUCUGCCCUUCUGCCUGGGAUAACAGUUGGAAACGACUGCUAAUACCGGAUACGCCCUUCGGGGGAAAGGUCCGCCGCAGAAGGAGGAGCCCGCGCUCGAUUAGCUAGUUGGUGAGGUAAUGGCUCACCAAGGCAACGAUCGAUAGCUGGUCUGAGAGGAUGAUCAGCCACACUGGGACUGAGACACGGCCCAGACUCCUACGGGAGGCAGCAGUGGGGAAUAUUGGACAAUGGGGGAAACCCUGAUCCAGCAAUGCCGCGUGUGUGAUGAAGGCCUUAGGGUUGUAAAGCACUUUCACUGGUGAAGAUGAUGACGGUAACCAGAGAAGAAGCCCCGGCUAACUUCGUGCCAGCAGCCGCGGUAAUACGAAGGGGGCGAGCGUUGUUCGGAAUUACUGGGCGUAAAGGGAGCGCAGGCGGUUCAUUAAGUUAGGCGUGAAAGCCCCGGGCUCAACCUGGGAACUGCGCUUAAUACUGGUGAGCUAGAAAACAGGAGAGGGUAGUGGAAUUUCCAGUGUAGAGGUGAAAUUCGUAGAUAUUGGAAAGAACACCGGUGGCGAAAGCGGCUACCUGGCCUGAU